Long non-coding RNA from Dipodomys spectabilis (banner-tailed kangaroo rat), 101 nucleotides. RefSeq lists it as uncharacterized. The transcript has 4 exons. Lineage: Eukaryota; Metazoa; Chordata; Mammalia; Rodentia; Heteromyidae. The record is from RefSeq and is a predicted model, not a curated record.
AAUAAAACUUGACUUGAUGACAAAAGACUUUCCACAUUUGUUACAUUCAUAAGGUUUCUCACCUGUGUGAAUUCUCUUAUGCCUACUGAGGUGUGAACUUC